RNAcentral lists this ribosomal RNA (425 nucleotides) under uncultured bacterium. RNAcentral's name for it is "partial 16S ribosomal RNA". It matches the Rfam family "Bacterial small subunit ribosomal RNA", at positions 354 to 796 of the family's 1533-position model. The record is from RNAcentral.
GUGGGGAAUCUUGCGCAAUGGGCGAAAGCCUGACGCAGCCAUGCCGCGUGAAUGAUGAAGGUCUUAGGAUUGUAAAAUUCUUUCACCGGGGACGAUAAUGACGGUACCCGGAGAAGAAGCUCCGGCUAACUUCGUGCCAGCAGCCGCGGUAAUACGAAGGGGGCUAGCGUUGCUCGGAAUUACUGGGCGUAAAGGGCGCGUAGGCGGACAGCUUAGUCAGAGGUGAAAGCCCAGGGCUCAACCUUGGAAUUGCCUUUGAUACUGGCUGUCUUGAGUAUGGAAGAGGUAUGUGGAACUCCGAGUGUAGAGGUGAAAUUCGUAGAUAUUCGGAAGAACACCAGUGGCGAAGGCGACAUACUGGUCCAUUACUGACGCUGAGGCUCGAAAGCGUGGGGAGCAAACAGGAUUAGAAACCCCUGUAGUCC